This 90-nucleotide transfer RNA is filed under the name Acidobacteria bacterium RIFCSPLOWO2_12_FULL_67_14b. RNAcentral describes it as "tRNA-Ser". It matches the Rfam family "tRNA". From Rfam's summary of the family: Transfer RNA (tRNA) molecules are approximately 80 nucleotides in length. Their secondary structure includes four short double-helical elements and three loops (D, anti-codon, and T loops). Further hydrogen bonds mediate the characteristic L-shaped molecular structure. tRNAs have two regions of fundamental functional importance: the anti-codon, which is responsible for specific mRNA codon recognition, and the 3' end, to which the tRNAs corresponding amino acid is attached (by aminoacyl-tRNA synthetases). tRNAs cope with the degeneracy of the genetic code in two manners: having more than one tRNA (with a specific anti-codon) for a particular amino acid; and 'wobble' base-pairing, i.e. permitting non-standard base-pairing at the 3rd anti-codon position. Lineage: Bacteria; Pseudomonadati; Acidobacteriota. RNAcentral also lists the same sequence under 3 other names. The record is from RNAcentral.
GGAGGGAUGGCCGAGUGGUUGAUGGCGGCGGUCUUGAAAACCGCUGUACCUGAAAGGGUAUCGGGGGUUCGAAUCCCUCUCCCUCCGCCA